CCUACGGGAGGCAGCAGUGGGGAAUAUUGCACAAUGGGCGAAAGCCUGAUGCAGCAACGCCGCGUGAAGGAAGACGGUUUUCGGAUUGUAAACUUCUAUCACUAGGGAAGAAAGAAAUGACGGUACCUAAAUAAGAAGCCCCGGCUAACUACGUGCCAGCAGCCGCGGUAAUACGUAGGUGGCGAGCGUUAUCCGGAUUUAUUGGGCGUAAAGCGUCCGCAGCCGGUUUAUUAAGUCUAAGAUUAAAGCCCGAAGCUUAACUUCGGUUCGUUUUAGAAACUGGUAGACUCGAGUGUGGUAGAGGC
This 305-nucleotide ribosomal RNA is filed under the name uncultured bacterium. RNAcentral describes it as "bacterial SSU rRNA". It matches the Rfam family "Bacterial small subunit ribosomal RNA", at positions 338 to 658 of the family's 1533-position model. The record is from RNAcentral.